Molecule: long non-coding RNA, 581 nt
Organism: Salvia miltiorrhiza (redroot sage)
Lineage: Eukaryota; Viridiplantae; Streptophyta; Magnoliopsida; Lamiales; Lamiaceae
Exons: 3
Source: RefSeq, a predicted model, not a curated record
AGAUUUAGAUAAUAUUGAGGCAUGUAAGCUCACCACAAAAACCAAGAAACUCCCCCCUUUUUCUCCUUCAAAUUUUCGGUCCCUCCCCCAUUUCUCUCCCUCACACUUUCUUCUUUUUCUCCUCUAUUUUAGCUAAGGAAAAUGCUUCCAAGACUUCAUCUUUUCACACCCAAAAGCUAAGAAGUGCCUCAAGCCUUUCCAAGCUUCAAAGUUCAAGCAUCAAGUACGAAAAGCUUCAAGGAAUCCUAAGCAUCAUCAACUCCAUUAUCCAUUGAUUUCUUGGAGUAUGAGUGACAACCGACGUUAGAACGACGCCGAGCUCUACUUCACCGACACCGAAGACAAGUUGAGCAGCUGACGGUGGUGAUGAAGUGAUGAGCGGGAUCUCUUUUGUCUUAGUUUAUGUAUUAAUGAACUCUGAGGAUACAUGUCUUCAUAUAUGUAAUCAGAACCUUUAUUCUGCUACGUACUCAGAAGUCUUAUGAUAUUUUGGGUAAGUCGGAGUUAUCCGAACUUACUAGUUAUUUGGGUCAUGUGACCAAACAUUUGUUAUAUUAAAAGUUUCCCCUUCGUUAACUGUA